Molecule: ribosomal RNA, 361 nt
Filed under: uncultured fungus
Lineage: Eukaryota; Fungi
Description: eukaryotic LSU rRNA
Rfam family: Eukaryotic large subunit ribosomal RNA
Source: RNAcentral
AUAUCAAUAAGCGGAGGAAAAGAAACCAACAGGGAUUGCCUCAGUAACUGCGAGUGAAGCGGCAAAAGCUCAAAUUUGAAAUCUGCGCCCUUCGGGGCGUCGAGUUGUAAUUUUGAGAUGCGUUUUCGACCGACAGGCCUGCCUUAAGUCCCUUGGAACAGGGCGUCACAGAGGGUGAGAAUCCCGUGAACGGUAGGCCUCGAGGCAAACGAUACGUAUUCGACGAGUCGAGUUGUUUGGGAAUGCAGCUCAAAAUGGGUGGUAAAUUUCAUCUAAAGCUAAAUAUAGGGGAGAGACCGAUAGCGCACAAGUAGAGUGAUCGAAAGAUGAAAAGCACUUUGAAAAGAGAGUUAAAAAGUAC